GUGCUUUCUUCAGCAGCACAUACACUAAAAUUGGAGUGAUACAGAGAAGAUUAGCAUGGCCACUGCACAAGGAUGACACAGAAAUUCAUGAAGCAUUCCAUAAAAAU
RNAcentral lists this small nuclear RNA (107 nucleotides) under Marmota marmota marmota (Alpine marmot). Lineage: Eukaryota; Metazoa; Chordata; Mammalia; Rodentia; Sciuridae. The record is from RNAcentral.